AAUAAGUGUUGAAGUGAAGUUCUUUAGUGAAACUUAAAACUGUUUGAAGAAUAAAAUAUAUUUCUGGAUAAGUGCUGUUUUGCAUUGUUCUACAUAAAUAAUAUACAACUGCAAUGGAGAAGUGUACAGUAUUUGUUGCGAAGGCGAGAUUGCGGAGCUAUAAUAUGUCACGUCGACUGAAAUAAUUGCUAGCGCACCGUUCAAGCUGUUUUGAUGUGAACAAAGAAAAUAAAAUCUGCUCUUCAUCGUCGUGGGCAGUUUUCGGGCGUUUUUGCAUUUGAGGAAAUUGGGGCAACACGAAAGCAGCGGCCAAGUUUUUCAACAUUUGGCUAGAAAAAUUGCACUGUAGGCGGCUGAGGCAGAUGCCAGGAGUUUGCGAUAAAUUGAUGAGGCAGGAAAGACUAGCCAGAUCCCGGAGUGUAUGUUGUCCUGACCUGGACUUAAGGAGUUUGGAGUUAGGAAGCCAGGUAUAAACCGAAACGGCGAAACCAGCUUCGUACCUUAUUAUACUUGGGCGUUGAAAGUUGAUACGCGAUCGAACGAUGUUAACUUGAACGCAAUACGUGAGAAAAGGCCUUACAAUUAGCUAAAAAUGCUGAUUGUUCGGUCCCAUGUAGCCGUGAGAGUAUAUCUAAACUGCGACUAAAUGUGUGUGUGUCGCGGCCUACACAGGGGUACUAAUCGUCGUUUUUAUCAGAUUGUGAUUGCGUGGAUUGAAUAUAUAUAGGAACCUGUAUCGACUUCUCUGCUCUACUAAGACUUGUUCAAAAGAAAGGCGCCCAGUUACAUAUGUACUAUAUAAACGGUCGUCUCUUAUUUACCUACCAUCGAACCGUUAUCUCAAUACUGAUCAAAUAGAUACAACACUACUGACAACGAUCGAUAUACACAUAUCUAGUAUCUGGAGUAGCAACCGAUUGCUCGUUCGUUUCACAAAGCACAAAUUAUAAGAUACAUCUUUCUUGUUAUUUACUUAAUAUAUUUUUUUCUUUGUUGUUAACUUAAACAUUUACAAGUACACGACAAGCGUGGCUUAAGUUCUUGAAAUACCUGAAACUGUAAAAAAAAAAAAUACAAAAAUUAUUUCUUCUGUUUUUGUACAUAUCCAAGAUUUAAGAAAACUUGUGUCCAUUUUUGUAAUUACAAUUGUCCAAUUCAGUAAUAGAAAAUGAGAAGAAAAAAAUAAUACGAAAAUGAAAAAGAAAAAGAAAAAGAGAGCUCACCAAACAGAAAAGAAGCUACAAUCAAAAAAAAGAAUAAAAGAAAUCUGAGACCAAUAAAUUUCGAAACAAUUGUU
Molecule: long non-coding RNA, 1297 nt
Organism: Drosophila hydei
Lineage: Eukaryota; Metazoa; Arthropoda; Insecta; Diptera; Drosophilidae
Exons: 2
Source: RefSeq, a predicted model, not a curated record